UGAAGAAUGAGCCUGCGAGUUAGCGGUGUGUAGCGAGGUUAACCCGUGUGGGGAAGCCGUAGCGAAAGCGAGUCCGAACAGGGCGAUUUGAGUUGCACGCUCUAGACCCGAAGCGGAGUGAUCUAGCCAUGGGCAGGUUGAAGCGGCUGUAAGAGGUCGUGGAGGACCGAACCCACCAGGGUUGAAAACCUGGGGGAUGACCUGUGGUUAGGGGUGAAAGGCCAAUCAAACUCCGUGAUAGCUGGUUCUCCCCGAAAUGCAUUUAGGUGCAGCGUCGUGUGUUUCUUGCCGGAGGUAGAGCACUGGAUAGGCGAUGGGCCCUACCGGGUUACUGACCUUAGCCAAACUCCGAAUGCCGGUAAGUGAGAGCGCGGCAGUGAGACUGUGGGGGAUAAGCUCCAUGGUCGAGAGGGAAACAGCCCAGAGCAUCGACUAAGGCCCCUAAGCGUACGCUAAGUGGGAAAGGAUGUGGAGUCGCAGAGACAACCAGGAGGUUGGCUUAGAAGCAGCCACCCUUGAAAGAGUGCGUAAUAGCUCACUGGUCUAGUGAUUCCGCGCCGACAAUGUAGCGGGGCUCAAGCGUACCGCCGAAGUCGUGUCAUUGCAGCAAUACUCCCAACGGAGGCUGUGAUGGGUAGGGGAGCGUCGUGUGCCGGGUGAAGCAGCCGUGGAAGCGAGUUGUGGACGGUUCACGAGUGAGAAUGCAGGCAUGAGUAGCGAUUCACACGUGAGAAACGUGUGCGCCGAUUGACUAAGGGUUCCUGGGUCAAGCUGAUCUGCCCAGGGUAAGUCGGGACCUAAGGCGAGGCCGACAGGCGUAGUCGAUGGA
Molecule: ribosomal RNA, 829 nt
Filed under: Streptomyces sp. CAI-17
Lineage: Bacteria; Bacillati; Actinomycetota; Actinomycetes; Kitasatosporales; Streptomycetaceae
Description: partial 23S ribosomal RNA
Rfam family: Bacterial large subunit ribosomal RNA
Source: RNAcentral